Molecule: small nuclear RNA, 98 nt
Filed under: Erinaceus europaeus (western European hedgehog)
Lineage: Eukaryota; Metazoa; Chordata; Mammalia; Eulipotyphla; Erinaceidae
Source: RNAcentral
AUGCUUGCUUCGGUAGCACAUAUACUAAAAUUGGAACGAUACAGAGAAGAUUAGCAUGGCCCCUGCGCAAGAAAAAAAAAAAAAAAAAGAAUGCUUGU